RNAcentral lists this unclassified non-coding RNA (586 nucleotides) under Hevea brasiliensis (rubber tree). The record is from RNAcentral. Lineage: Eukaryota; Viridiplantae; Streptophyta; Magnoliopsida; Malpighiales; Euphorbiaceae.
GAGAGAGAGGGAGAGGGAGAGAGAUUGAUAGAAAGCAAGCAUUAACACAUAUGAUGCAUGCAUAAUGACCUCAAUUUGGGUAAUAGCAGUACUUGGAAGGCAUACAAGACAGCAUCAGAACAGCAGCCAAAUAACAAUAAGUUCAGUCCAACCAAAAGAUCGAAACUGUCCAACCAACAUGCUACAUUCUUCUAAUCCACAAAUGUAACUAAUCUGCCAAAGGAAGAACACUGAGGAGCACCAAAGCUAAACGCAAAGGUUUUACAAUUAAUACAUGGUCAACAAAUCACUUCAAAUAGUCCUUUAUUAAACACACUAGUAGUCUUUAUGUUUAUUAACUAGACAAGAAAAAGGCUAGCCAGUACUUUUGUGUCAACCAUUUCGUGAAUUGUUCUCCAACUUGGAGGUCUUUUACACCAUUCUACUAAUUUCAUUUUCCAAAAAAUGAAGCUCAAAGCCUAUAGGUCCUUUCCUAGGGUGUUCACUAUUUAGGUCCAACUAAAAUAACCAAGCCAAACGGACCCAAUUGGGAGUUUUUACUUCAUUUGGUUCGUUUUUUAAGUAUUAAAAAAAUAAAAAAAUAAUA